Stegostoma tigrinum is the source of this 18164-nucleotide long non-coding RNA. RefSeq lists it as uncharacterized. The transcript is spliced from 5 exons. The record is from RefSeq and is a predicted model, not a curated record. Lineage: Eukaryota; Metazoa; Chordata; Chondrichthyes; Orectolobiformes; Stegostomatidae.
UUUUCAGAGAGGGGUCUAGGCCUGAAAUGUCAGCUUUUGUGCUCCUAAGAUGCUGCUUGGCCUGCUGUGUUCAUCCAGCUCCACACUUUGUUAUAUUUAAUAUGUGUGGUUUGGUUCUUAAGCGUACCACCCACUGGGAAUCGUUUUUUCCUUAUCUUUUCUGUCCUUACCUUUAUUGUGAUUUUUUUUUUCAAAUACCUUUUCUUAAAUCUCCUCUCAUUCCAUUCUCUUAAGGAAAACAGCCUAGCCUUUCACAACUUACCUGCAUCACAGAAGUUCCUAAUUCCUGGAACCAUUGUUGUGGUCUUUGCGCUCUAGAGUUUCACACCUUUCCUGAAAUGUGGUACCUCGAACUGAGUACAAUAUCUGAGGUUGAACCAGCGUUAAGUUUAAUAAGCAUAGCACAUUGAGAGGUAAAUUUGUUGGAAGGCUUUAGGAUUUUGAAAGGAAGUGAUAAGAUAGACUGCUUUUCCACAUUGAUGGGGGAUGCUUGGGAUCAUGCGGCAUCAUAGCCAUGCCAUUCAGUGGAGAUGUUUGGCAACACAGUGGUAAAAUUAUGGAACACUCUCAAAAGGCAGUUGAAGCUGUAUCAAUUAAUAUUUUACAUUUAUUUUUAAUCUUCUUGUUCAGAAAUGUUGUGACACACCACCAUGGCAGUUAGGUUUUAACCUGGACAUUGAGCCAGAGGGAGUCACUAAUAUCUGGAUCAGCACAAAGGAUAGUAAUUUUGAGCUUUAGUGUCUGUAAUGCAUGAGUGUAAUUUUUUUAAUCUUAACUAAAUGAGGAAGCAGUUGAAGAUGGGCAGAUAAAUGAUUAACAUUGGUGGAAUGAUAGAGAAUCGGAGAAAACUGAUUGAAGGUAAUUGUCAAAAGAACAAUGCUGACAUGAGGGAAAAGCUCUUAAAGCAGUGAGUAGAGGAACGUGAAAUCCAGGCUUCAAUAAGAAAAUUGGAUUGUCAUCCGAAGGGGAAAAUACUUCAAGACUGCAUGGAAAGUUGAGAGAGUAGGACUAACUGAGCUUGUAUUGCAGACACCUAACACAACCUAUGUUUCUGAUCAAUCUGUUUAGAUGUUACUUCCGACACUUAUGGAGCAAGUCGGUCUUGAACCUGGGUCUCUUGGUCCAAGAGGGUAGGAAUGCUACCUCUGCACCAUAAGAAGGCCCCCAGAGAACUUGCACAAAUGCAGAGGGCUGAAUGACCACCACCUGCAUCGUAUCCAAUGAUUCUCUGAAGUCUUUCAGCAAUGUGAUGGAAGCGGAAGCAGAAACUCUGAUUUUAUUUUUGAGAUGCACAGCUGGAAACCGAUGAAAGGAGGCUGGAAUUAUAGCCUCAUCUGGAGUGUUAUCUCUUUAUGUAUUGAAGACCUCUUUCAUAAAAUCCUAAAUUGUGAUUUGUCUUCAUUCUUUAUAAGAUUCAGACUGGUGUGUUCUAACCCAAUGAUAUAUGGUCCACCUAGAUUUUCAAUUGAAGCUCAACAGGAACCUUUUUAAAAUGAAUACGUUACAGUGGUGCUUAAAUUUGUAUCUACAUUGAUAUAUCUUCAAUUCAAAAAAUCAAACAGCUCUCAAUCAAACAAGAGAUUUGAGGAUGUAGUGAAUUUCACAAUUGUCUUUUUUUCACCAUAGUUUGCUGUACUUAAAACCUGAAAAUUAGAUUAUCUAAUUUGCUCACUCAGUCCUUUCUCCGUACUGUGACAUUUGGCCUUUAAUCAUAGAAUCCCUACAGUGUGGAAACAGGCCCUUUGGUCAAACAAGUCCAUGCUGAACCUCCGAGCAUCCCACCUAGACUCAUCUCCCUGUAACCCACCUAAUCUACACAUCCCUGAACACUACAGGCAAUUUAGCAUAGCCAUUCGCAUAUCCUACACAUCUUUGGCCUGUGGGAGGAAAACCAGAGGAUUCUGAGAAAACCCAAGCAGUCGUGGUAAGAAUAUGCAAACUCCACACAGACAGUCACCCAGAGUUUGAAUUGAAUCAUGUCCCUGGUGCUCUGAGCCAGCAAUGCUAACCACUGAGCUGCCCUGGCGACCUAACCUUUUAAAAAAAUUUUAGUGGUAGGUACAGGCAAUUUCUGCUCACUAAAGCUGUUUUAAGUCCCUGCAAAUAUUGCAUUAUGUUAAUACGAAAUACUUGUACCUUACUCCUAGAAACAAACCAAGGGAAUAUGUUUCUAGCUUUUCUCCUUAUUCACUGUAUGGAGAACAUGAUUGAAACCUUAAGCCUAUAAAAUCAAUGUUGCAAGUUGAGAGGUUGAAUUCAGAAUUUGACAACCAACUUGCAGUGGUACAGCAGUGAAGUGCUGGAGGUAGCAAAUGAUAAAUAUUUAAUGCCCAUGUUUUUCUUGCCCUUCUAAUGCAGUUCCACCGAUACUGAGGAUGACUUUCUUCCAAUCUGGUGUUGUGGGUCCUGAAGUGACUAAACUGGCUGCUACAUCUGCACACCCUGCCACAGAUGGGACAAGUGGUGUUUAAAGAGGAGGAGGGAUGGGGUGCCCAAGUGUUCGCGUGCUGUUUUGGUUCUUUGCACUCAGCCUUUACUUGAGCCUGUCAUACAUGCUGAGGAUGGUUGGCACCUUUUGUAGUUCUGCUUCUCCAGCCUGGGUGGUUCUUGAGCAAGAGAUUCCCAUCAAGUCAGUGGGCAUGGUUUUUUUUAAAAUUUCUUCCAUAAGAAUACUUUGAGGACAUCGUUCAAAAAUUCCCAUUAUCCUCUGGAGAACUGUUUGCUGAGACAGAACUCGGGGUAAAGACCCACUUUUGGAUGUCUCCUGUCGGGUAUACAGAUGGUGUGACUGGCUCAGCACAUCUUAUUGUCAGUAACCAUUAUCUCUGUUACCCCAAGAGAGGGCACUGAUACUGGAAUACAUGUCCUGCAAUUUGAGUUACAGCGGAAUUUUGUGCAAAUUUGCUAUGGUCAACACCAUAUGUUUCCUGACCGCUAACAUCAGUCAUAGCUGAAGAAGUUGUGGAGUUUGAUUUAGGUUCAGCACAGUGAGUUAUUCAAGUUGUAGGACAUGACUGGGAGAGGACUACACCUAAAAUUGAAAGUCUAACCUGCCUAACAUAUCACCACAAGUCCAGCUUCAAGUGAACAAUGCGAUAUUUGAAGAUACAAAUUUGGAUUGAAAAUUUGAAUGAAAGCUAAAGGUAACCGCAUAAAAAGAAAAUCUACGGCACAAUUUGAAGUGGAUGAAUGCAUUUAUCAGGUUAAUAUUCUCCCAGAAACUGGUGAGAAAUUAGACAGCACUUGAAAAUCCAAGGUACUGAAUUUUAAUUAAAAUCAGCUAAGUGGCAAUUUUGUGGAGUACUUGGGGGAUUUCGCUCCCUGAAACUGAACAAGUUUUCUCAUGCAGUUUUACACUGCUCAUCUCAGUAUGUACGUACCCUUCAUCUAUGGAGCUGUACUCAUGGUAUCAUCUGCAGUGGAAGUAUUGCCAGAGCUGGGACUAACUGGCAUGCCCACCACCAGUGCCAUCUUCAAACCCCAGCUAUACUCCAGAUUAUUUGCUGCCAGCCAAAGAGCUACCCUUCACAGGUGCAGUUUUGGAACAGCCGUCCCAGAAAUGGCAAACAAAGGCACGUUAACACUCUGAUUAACUGGCACAGGUGUGGAGUUCCUGGUGGACAGGAUGGUGGAGAGAAGAUCUGUCCUUCUUCCUCAGAAUGACUACAGGAGAUCACACCAGUGAAUCGUGCCAGACCACCUUUAGUUACCACAGUCAACCUGCACUGACCCAAUCUGGAGGAAUGCCCAGCAAUGCCACAAGAUGAUCUUCUGUACUCUGAUCUUCUUUUUGCUUCAUCACACCCUGUAACUCUGCUAUUGCAUCCACCUUCCACUAAACCUCAUGAUCUACUGCUCUCACAAUUGCAUAAACCAUCUUCCCUUGCAUCUUCUCACCCAUCCAACCCCCAAGUCUACUAGCCUGCAAUGUUCUGCUCACUCACUUGGCCAGCUCAUCAGCUAUCUUCCUCCUGCACAGGCACUAACAGCUGUGCCGGCCACUGUUGUAUCACUCAGUUUGUCCCUUUGUCUCAUUGCAGGAGGCAAAGAACCCUACAGUAGGUUGGAUAGCAUGAAGACAGUUGACAAGGUGCCCAAUAUUAUUAUUCUCACCCCCAGGAGGAGGAAGUCUUUGAUCUAGAGGAAAGGGACUGUGACUGCUCAUGUGAAGUUGCCAAGGCAUCCAUAUUAUGGCAGCCACUUAAGAUUUAUUGUCUCGUGCUGCACUGCUCUCCCACUACAGUCUCCGUGAAUGAUGUCUUAACCUGCCUAAGCAUUUAUCCCUAUUUCACAACACAUUCACUCUUUUGUCUUCUGCAGGCACCAUCUAUGUGGUCACCACCAUUAGGAGACUAGCCUCUCAAGACUCCACCUCUGAGGAAACUGUCAAUCAGUCAGAGGGUGCAGUGGGAAGGCAGUCACCUGCACCCCCGCCCCCCCCUUCCCCCGCCAGCUCAGAUAUGGACAUCUCAAUGGGUAUGUUUGCUAGAUUAAAGUCAGGAACACAUUCUGGUGACAGCAUUAUUGCCACAUCUCCACAGCUGACUAAGAAAGAUGUGCCAGACUUAGAGGACAGCUGGAUACUGAGUGUAGAGACUGUAAUGUGGUUAGCCAGGUGGGCCUCAUAGAAUAUAAGUUCCCUGACUGAGAAUGUUAAUCUGGCCCAAUCAGGGAGCCCUGGCUGACAGAUAUAAACAGGAAUGUCAGAAAUUCUGUUUACUCUGCGAGUUGGCUCUGAGGAAACUGAAUCAGUGUCAAGGACUUUUCACAUGUAAAUAAAGAGUGACUUGAUGAUGGGAUAUUGGCCUUUGUGGAGUUACUUUACCCCUUGAACAUGUUAACAAUACAUUUGCUGUGGCGGUAAUAGGAGAUUAGUACAACACGAUGAAUCUUACUUGAUUGCCAUGGCAGGGAAAGCUUGGCAUCCCAAAACAAACAGGAUAGAUCCUCUUGCUUAUGCUCAGGUAUUGUCUUCUUGUACAGGGUGAGGAGGUGAGUAUCAGCCAUAUCACUACUAGUCUUGGCCAUUCUAGCCCUAUUGUGUUCCAUGUUCUCCUGAAAUAAAUGAGAUGAAAGUGGCUGGCAAAGCUGUUGAUAUUGGAGGAGGAGGAAGCAAGUUAAUGAGCUGUCCUGAGUGAGUGAAUAGGAAGUACAGAGGACAAGGUUAGUGAUUAGGGGGCAAUGGCAUGAGUGACAGUAAUUGAGUAAAAAUGCUGCUUGUACUAGUGACAGUGUACAGUAUGAGCUUCUGUGGGAGGUGGGUGCAGUAACUAAGUUUGAGUAUGAGGUCAGCCAAAAAAAAUGGUGUCACUUACCCUUGUGGAGCACAAGUCAUUAACUUUCAUGCACUGCUCUCUGUUCUUCUGGGCAGCAGAAAUGGCUCUGAUCCAGUUGGCUAUUUGAUACCAGGCUGGCAGUCUCCGAUGCUGUGAUUUCCUCUUAUAGCCCUCUUCUCCACCAUUCAAUCCACCCCAGAAUCACUGUUGACAAAGUAAGGUCUGAACUUCCCUCUCUCAGACUCCUCCUUUGGAAUUGUACAAUGGCUUCUGGCAUUUCACAUGGUGUGCAGCUGGGGUUCAAGCAUGGCUCCAGCGGUGUGAAUGCUGUGAGCAUUUCCAUUGCUGCCGAGCGCACGACUGUAUUGAGAGUGGUAUUAUAUACUUAAUAGUAGUAUAUUAAGUAUAUACCCUGUCAGUAUAUAUGACAGCGUAUAUACUUAAUGAUGAGAGAUGCCAAGAAUUGUGUGGAGACAGUCACCAGGGCUCAUGGAGGGACACCAUUUGUGAAAUUCCCCAAAAUUGACAAUUACCCAAAACAUAAGAAAAUUCAGCCUCCUGUUUCCCUCAUGGCACAUGUGAUUUUUUAAAACUCAAAUUUGGUGUUAAUCCAGCUGGCGCAGGCGUGAGCGUACAUAGCAUUGUUACAGGGAUCUCCUUUGUGUGAAAUGUUAAAUUGACAGCUCAACCCAGUGUUCAGUUGAAAGUUAAAGAUAAACAAUAGAAUGGUGGACUGAAAUGAGAUGAAAUGUAUUUGAAUCUUUCAUCCUUAAAUUAUCAAACUCACAUAUUCAAUUGUAGCCAAUUAUUACUAUUAUUUUUGGUAAUACCUGUGAGGAAUCUCAUUCUAUUCCCCAGUGUGCCAGUAGCUAUCUGCUUGCUUAGCAUAAUACUGAGCCAUAAGAAUGCAGCUUCAUGUUUAGGUCUGUGAGGAAUGUUAAUCUUAGAUCAAAUAUGUUUGCUUAUGUGCAGGUGGAGGUGCAGUAAUUUUCACUACAGCACAAAUAGAGAGACACUUAGUGCAGUUGUGAGUAGUUGAAUUAGGAAAAAUGUGCUUGAAAUGUUUCACAUUGUAAAUAAAUAUAAGACUGAGCAAAGGUUGCUUCCAGUAUCGUUGGCUUUCUGGAAUAUAACAUUGAAUUCACUGUCAGCAAUGUAAUAAUGGAUAUAAUAUAUGGCCUGUGCUUAAGCCAAUGUGUUUGAUAAAAAGGGCAAAAGGAAGAAUUUGAUAUUAGCUCAGUGCAGUAAUAUGCAUUGUUAAUGCUCAUUUCUACCCUGUUAAUGUUUGAGCAGAUACAUGAAUGUCAGGUAGUCAAGGUCUGCUGGAACCAAUUGUCUAAAACAUUUAGUUGGGAGAAGCAGAAAUGUAGAAGAAGGUCGAAAGAUGUAAUCACAUACUGUGAUGAAUUGCUGAAACUAAUAACAUACUUUAACCUUUUGGCAAUAGUUAAUGAAGUUAGAACCCCCACAAGGUCAUUCUUAUUGCUUUCAAAACAUUAAAAAAAUGUAUCAGAAGUUUGCAUGUUCAAAUCCUUUUUUUUAUGUACCCUAUAAAAUGUUUAAUGAAGUACAGUUUAUGUUCAGGAACAAAUUGUAAAUCAAGACAUUUAGUGGUAAGUUGGUCGUAUACCUGUCACACACGAACAGAAGGUGCCUUGUGCGCUGUUUACUGUAAUAAUGGCAUUGAGGUGCAUUUUCAAUCUGAUUCAAAUGUUAAGAAAGGAAAAGUACUGGAGAUUUGUCCUUUCUUAAAUAUCGUAAGGGUGAAAAUCAACUUAGGAAGUGAUGUAAAAUAUUUGAUAUUAUAUUUUCCAUCCAAAAUUCACUUCCCAAUGUUCUUGGCACUGAAAAUAACUAGUGAUAGAUGCAAUAUAUUGUACCCAAAUUUCACCAACUAUUGAUAUCCUUCAUGAAGUGAGAAAACCAAAAGGGAUGCAUUUGGUUCGAGAUACCUUAAGUUUUCUUUUGAUUCUUGAGUUUUGUUUUCUGAGGUGAUGGAUUGCAAAUGUGACUGCUUUGCUCAAGAAAAGAAGGAGACAGAAAACAGAAAACCACAGGCUGGUCAGCUGAAUAUCCCAUAUUUCUAAGGUCUGCUAGUUUAUGCUGUGUAAAUCAGUCAUUUGAAUCCUUUUCUUUAUUCAUUCAUGAGAUGUGAGUGUUGCUAGCUGGCCAGCAUUUAUAGCCCAUCCCUAGUUGCCCUUCAGAAGGUAGCAGUGAGCUGCCUCCUUGAACUGCUGCAGUCCAGCUGCCUACAAUGCUGUUAGGGAGGAAAUUCCAGAAUUUUAACACAGCGACAGUGAAGGAAUCGCAACAGAUUUCCAAGUCAGGAUGGUGAGUGACUUGGAGGUGAACUUGCAGAUGGUGGUGUUCCCAUGUAUUUGCUGUCCUUGUCCUUCUGGAUGGAAGUGGCCACGGAUUUAGAAGGUACGGUCUGAGGAUCUGUGGUGAAUUUCUGGUGUGCAUCUUGUAGAUAGCACACGCUGCUGCUACUGAGUGUCAGUGGAGGAGACAGUGGAUAUUGUGCCUGUGGUGCUACUCAAGUGGGCUGCUUUCUCUUGGAUGAUGUCAAGCCUCUUGAGUGUUGUUGGGCUGCAUUCAUCAAGGCAGGUGGGAAAUAUUCCAUCACAUUCCUGACUUGUGCCUUGUAGAUGAUGACCAGGCUUUGGGGAGUCAAGACGUGAGUUAAUACAGUUUUCCUAGCCUCUGACCUGCUCUUCUCGUCACUGUAUUUCUAUGGCAAGAUCAGUUCAAUUUCUAGUCAAUUGUAACCCCCAGGAUGUUGAUAGCAGGGGAUUCAGUGACUGUAAAACCAUUGAAUGUCGAGUGGCAGUGGUUAAGUUGUCUCUUGUUGGUUAUGGUCAUUGCUUGGCUUCUGUAUGGCAUGAAUGUCAACUUGCCACUUGAUAGCCUAUGCCUGAAUAUUGUCUACUCCAUGUUGCAUUUGAACAUGACUGCUUCUGAGGAGUCACAAAUUUUGCUGAACGUUGUACAAUCAUCGGCGAAAAUCCCUACUUCUGACGUUAUGAUGGAGGGAAAAUCACUUAUGAAGCAACUGAAAUUGGUUGGGCAUAGAACACCUGCCUGAGGAACUCCUGCAGAGCUGUCCUGGAACUGAGAUGACUGAUUUCCAACAACCAUGACCAUCUUACCAUGUGUCAGGUAUGGCUGCAAUCAGCAGAGAUUUUUCCCCAAUUCCUAAUGACUCCAAUUUUGAUAGGGUUCCUUGAUGCCACAGUUAAUCCAAUACAGCCUUGAUGUCAGGGGCUGUCACUUUCACCAAAUGUCUGGAAUUCAGCUGUUUUGUCCAUGCUUGAACCAAGGCUGUAAUGAAGUUAGGAGCUAAGUGGCCCUGGUGGAACCCAAACUGAACAUCACUGAGCAGGCAAUUGCUGAGAAGGUACUGCUUGACAGCACUGUCAAUGACACCUUCCAUUACUUUACUGAUGAUCAAGAGCAGACUGAUAGGGUGGUAAUUGCCAAGUUGGAUUUGUCUCCAAUGAUUAUGUUCCUUAGCAAUGCAUUAAUAGUAUGGUGGAAAAUCUACUAUUAAGGAGGCUAUAGUGAGGGGUUUAGAAAAUUGUAAUGCAAACAGGUAGAGUCAACAUGGUUUUCUGAACGGGAAGUUAUGUUUGACUAAUUUAUUAGCGUUCUUUAAAGAAGUGACAAGCAAAGUAGAUAAAAAAAAACAGUAAAUGUAGGUUUCCAGAGAACGUUUGACAAGUUGCCAUCAGAAGUUUACUACAAAAAUUAAUGGGGUAAAAUAUUAGCACGGUAAGCUGAGAAGAAGCAGGGGGUAGAUAUAAAUGGGUCAUUUUCAGGCUGGCAGUAUUGAAACUGGUGUCUGUACAAAACUGAGUUUUUCCCCUAGUAUUUCCCGUGUGUUGAAAUCAUAUGUAACUGUUGCUACAGUAGGUGAGAUAAUAGGAAUUGCAGAUGCUGGAGAAUCUGAGAUAACAAGGUGUAGAGCUGGAUGAACACAGCAGGUCAAGCAGCAUCUUAGGAGAUAUUAACAAGUGCCCAGGGUCAUAGGCAGGCAGUUCUUGCAGAGGGCAAUCUCAUUAGGGAGUUGUUUUCUGGAAGAUGAACCAGGAAAAAAAUUGAGGGAAGACCCAAAGAAGAAUUUCCCAUCACUAACUUUCUUCAGUGUACCCUUUGCUUGGAUCCUGAACCAUGUACAAAUUCUCAAUUCCACCUGCUGACCUUGCCAUGUUCCUAUUUGCAUUGGAUGGAAAACAUUUCAGAGCAAUUAAAUAGCCAAGGCAUUGUGCUAAAUUCUCCCAGGAUAAUCACUGGCCAUUUCAAGUCAAAAUCAGGUUACUGAAUUUUAUAAGCCCAUGAAAUUGCAUAUAACUCUGAAGGGAUAGAAUUUCAACGUGACAGCUGACAUUGUGAUUUGACCACUUAUUGGGGGAAACCAUCUGAUUUUUAUUCCCAAUAAAUUAUAGAGCUAGUACUGUAAGCUGGUACUGCAUUUUUGAGAACUUUGAAUCCUAAGAAGUAUUUUGGGAUCUAUGAUCCUUGUAAGUGUUUGUCGUAGAGUAGCUAUGGGCUUAUGGGCUACCAUGAUUCCUAGUGGUCAUAGGAGUCUUGUUGUCAGUUCUGCUAAGUUCUUAAUGUAGGGCAGUGUGGUCAGUGUGUUAGGGCAUACUGUGUCCACAUGUUGUUUAUUAGUAGGCAUCAGCAGAUGAAGUUGUGGGGACAUCCGUUUAUAAUGAAGAUUUUGUGUAGGUGCUCUUCCUCUUUCCUCCAAGGUUCUGGCGUGUUUCAGUGAGUGGUGGUCCAUUUUAAAUAGUGUCCAAAAGCAGCUUUGUUCGUGGACCUUGGGGUGGUUUCUGUGGAAGCUGAGGAUUUGGAUAGUGUGGGUUACUUUGCUGUAUACCGAGGUUUGGAACUCCCCGUUGGUCAUGCGUUCAACUCUGAUGUCCAGAAAUGAAAGCUGAUUGUUGUUGUCGUCUUCUCUUGUGAAUUUAAUCCCGUUGAUGAGGUGAUGAGUCUUUUCUAGAUUGGUGCAUUUAAUAAUGAUAAAUGUGUCAUCCACAUACCGGAUCCACACCUUAGGUUGGAUGAGGGGUAGGGUAGUGUGUUCUAGUCUUUAUAUGACUGCCUCUGCAAUGAGUCCUGAAAUGGUGACCUCAUAAGUGUGCCAUUGAUCUAACUGUAUACUUGACCAUUAAAGAUGAAGUGUGUGGUGAGGCACAAGUCUAGUAGGUUGAGUACAUUGUCAUUGCUGAUACAGCUGCUGAUCUGCAUUCCUGCUUCGUCUAGUGUUUCUUUGGCUAGUAGGAUAUCAACUAACAUGAAUAAUGCUGUGAUGUCAAAGGAUACCAUAAUCGCAUCAUUGCUGAUUUUUAUGUUUUUGGCCUGAUUCGCACAAUAUGCAGAACCAAAACAAUUUACAAAAUACCACGCAAUGACUGCCACAAACAUUAGACAGGAAAGAAACUAGCCAUCAGAAUACAGGAACAUCAGCUAGCAGCAAAAUGACACAAAAAAAUUUCCUUAAUAUCAGCAUACUCGGACAAUGAUAGCCAUCUGUUUAACUGGAACAACGUAACCAUAGUAACCCAAGCCAAACAUAGACAGGCACAGAAAUUCCGAGAGGCAUGGUUGCCAACCCAUAAUGCAAUCAACAAACAUAUAGAAUUGGACACCAUAUACAAACCCAUAGAGAACAAAACUGGAAAUGACACUACAAUGAUGCGAUUAUGGUAUCCUUUGACAUCACGGACCGGACAGUAUAAAUUCCAAGUGGAGUAGAACAACAUCACUUCAUCAGAGGCCUCACUGAUGACGUUACCUAGCAUAGUGACGAAACGUCUGAACAAAAACAGGCCAGCUUGGCAAGCAAGUCAACAACCUCACCCACAACCUGAGCUACAAAUCUUUGCUAAAACCUUAAAAAGCCUCUAUGGGAUUUUGCAGAUUCUGCAAAAUGUAGGAGGGGUCAGAGCCACAGGUGGUCCUCAUGUGGGAAACUAUUAAAGUAAGCUAGUUAGAAGCCUCUGGCUCUAAAUCAGAGUUGUGGAUUUUUUUUCAAAAUCCCCAGAACCUUCUGGACCAUUUCAGUGUAAGUCAGCUUCAUGGUGGCUUCAACAGUGGUCCUGGCUAGCAACUUUAGCUUAGGAUUCAGCAAUGACUACCUUCAUAUUCAAAUGUCAGGGCACUACAAAGGAGGAGGAACUCUUGGACAACCACAAGCAAAAGGUUUUUUUCUAAUGUUGAAUGAUCGAACCCAGGCAUACUGCAGCAUAUUUGUUACCUGCUGUCCUAACCUUUGGUGUGAUCUGUCAUGACCUCAGCAAUAUUCUUGAUCACAAGUUUUUGUUCUAAUUUUAAAUUAUUAUUAAACCAAAAAUGUAACAAGGCAAAAUCAAAAGUAAAACUAUUGCAAACUCCAUGGAUAAUGAUCAGAUAUGAUUACAGCAAACAAUGAGCAAUAUUUUAACAGGAUGUGCUCCCCACAGAACUUGAAGUAAUGAAGGAAAGGCCUGAGCUGUUUAGCAGAGUAGAGAAAUUUAAGUUAAAUUUAAGAUUUGAGAUUAAAGCAAAUUUUAAAAAAAAAAAUCAUCUGGUGUAAAGGAGUUUGAAAACUCAGAAAAAUUGAAGAUUGUCAAUGAACAGGCAAGGUCUUAUCAAGGAAAAUGAGAAGGCAUAGGGAACGAUCAAUAUUUUGUCUGUUUUCACUUUGUGGGGCAGAGAUAUCACAGAGGCCAGUGAUCAGAGCGUGGGGGUGGGGCCAUGAUCAAGAAAUCCCCCGCACCUUAGGCCUUCCCUAUCCACUGUAAAAUUGCUGCCAGGUAGAUAGCAAGAAGGACACCCACAGAUGUUUAAAUGCCUCACUCUAACCCGCAAACCAUGCCCACCCCACCCACAGCAAGGAACCAUACAACUUUUCUCCAACUUCUUUACACACUAUACGAGCUAGUCGCCCCUUCUUCAUAGAUAUAUGAACUCCUAAGUGUGUGUGUUCCUGCACCUGCAUUAAAAUUUUUCCUAGACACAUGGCACAGUAGAGUAAAAUUAGUAAAAGUCAAUAAUCAGCCUUCUGUGGUUUUGCUGGAAUGAUCGACAAAAGAAGUUUUAAAAGUAACAGUGUGAUGAUUUUAUUUUCAUUAAAACAAAAUUGAAUCAUGACUGAAGGCUGAAAUCAUCGCUUAAAUUAGUGACACUAAACAGACUUGAAGGUCUCAUCACACCUAACUUUCGCUGCAGCUACUGAGUUUAUUUAAGUUAGCCUCCAGUAGUGAGAAGAGAAUUAGCUCAAUUCCCACUCAUAUCCUUUGGUAGAUAGUUCUUUUUAUGCUGAAAUAUGAUGGGGUUCAUUAAGCUGUUAAAACCAGGUAAGUAAUAUAUACACAUAUAUCAACAAGGGCCACACGGCUUAAGUUACUGUAGGGUGACAGUAGCCGGAAAUCUGUCUCCAGAGCAGAAGUCACUAUGUUCGGAGAGGAAAUUGAGGGUGUAGGGAGUUGGCCUUCCGAUAGCUGUAGGAAAAACAGAUCAAGAUGAUGUUGGCUGCAACACAACCCUGUUCUUUGUUUACAUUUGACAGCAAAAAGCAAAAUUAACUCUAAUAGUAUUGAAUGUCUGGUAAUUGUAGGGUGAGUUUUGAAAUAAUUAGGUUGUAACCUCACCUGUGCUGUUUCAGCAACUUUUUCUUUCCCGAGCUAAUCCAUUUUAUAUUUUUUACAAUCCACAAGGAGCUGACAUAUCUUAAAACUUGUAGUUUGGAAUUUUGUCCUAGAAAAUUUCUUCAAAUUCAAGUUUUUAAAAGAACCCAACACAGUUCUGAGCAAGAGUCACUGGACCCAAACACUAACUCUGUUUCCUCCUUCACAGAUGCUGCCAGACCUGCUGAGCUUUUCCAGCAACUUUGUUUUUAUUGGAUAUGAUCCAUCUCCAAACGCCUGAGUAAAUAUGGUUCCAACAACACUCGAGAAUCCAAGACAAAACAAACUGCUCGAUCAGCACCACAUCCACCAGCCACGUAUAUAUAAAUUGACAUAGGGCAAUGAGUGAUCAUCAUACAACUUGGAAUGACAAAGCAGAUGCUAACAGCAAUGAAACUUGCACUUCUACAGCUUUCUAAAUCUAAAAUAAUUAUGAUAUCCUUUACAGAGGAAGACCUGCCAUUUAUGUGGUUCCAACACCACAUCAAUGUGGUUGACAUUUAAGUGCCUUCUUAAAUGGCCCAGCAAGCCACUCAGUUGCAUCAAACUGCUACAGAAGAUGCAUUUGGAUGCUAGACUCUGCGACUAUACCAUGAUCCUGUGAUAAAUUUACUGUUUCACAUUGUUUUACUGUUGGCAAAUUUACUGCUGGCAAAUUUACUGCUUGUAACCUGUACUCUGCUUUUACAAGUUUUACAAGAAAUCAUUUCUGAAGCUGAAGUCUUGGCAAUACAAAUUAAUUAUUAAGAAACUUUGUAUAUGUACACAAGUGUGCAUAUACUUGUGCUCCUGUUUUCAACUCAUCAGAUUCUUUUGAGCAUUAAUGUUUAUUUUGGGGAAUAUCAUUUAAAUCGCUCAAGAAAUUAUUUUUUGCAAAUCACUCAUGUCAUGUAUUAGGUGAAUGCUCAAGAAUUAAUUUGGUAGAUUUAUAGACUCUAUUGUAUAUGUGUCAUCAGUCACUAAAUCAGUCUGGGAUUUUAGUGUGUGGUGAUAUUGCCAUUGUAGGAUUAGUGUAGAAGUUAUGGAUGCUGAUUGUCUUGAAAAUGGUAACAUAACUUGUGACUGAUUUUCAAGUUAUAUGCAUUUAAUACAUGUCACAGAUAAUUCACAACAGGCACUUAUAGCAGACACAGAGUUUAGGUGGGGCCAGGCCAGCCAGUAUACUGAGGGUACAAUUACAUUCCUCAAAAAUACCCCUGAACAUAAAAACAAUGCAUACAUUCUCAUUUGGAGUCAAAAGUAAGGCAAGUUACCCAACAUGCACAGUCACAAAAAAAACACAUUAACAAAAUUAACAGUCAUUACAUGGUCACCGUGAGGCCAGUAUUUUUAUUCCAUAUUUUUACUAAAUCUACCAUGGUGGAAGAUUAGUCUAGGGUUUUGGGUUAUUAUUCCAGUGGCAUUACCACUACACUACCGGUUUUUCACUUCUAUUAGUCUUUUCACAUAUAUUGCACACAGGGUCCCAUAAUGGUAUUUAUAUGCAAUUCUGUCAAAUGUUUGAUUGGUAUCUGCUCAUUUCUAGGGUUAAUUUACUUCACUGUGGGGGGUUUUGUUCCUAUAGCAAGUUCUGUUGCAUUAGCAACAACUAUGUCAAUUCUAUUGCUGAGGAACGGUGGACUUCCAAGAUUAAUGGUUGCUUUUUUUUUGUCAUCUGAAUAUAGCAUUGUUCAGUUUGCAUAAAAGUUGCUCCAAGUCCUGACUCACUGUUAUCGUACAGCAAGGUGUCUUCAUCAUUCACAUCUUGGUACCUCUACACUGCCAGUUUAAUGACUAGUUACAGCAAAUUUUAACUGGCCUCUUUUGAACCAGCAUUCUUAAUAAACCAGCAAAAAUUAUAUCCUGGAAAUACUAGAACUUUAUUAUCAUGAUCUCUGCAAUGUUUAAGUAGUCGGUUGAGGUGUCGGUUGAAAAGGCUCUCUGCCACUAAGUUAAAUUUAAGGCAAAGUUGCUUUAUUAUUUUAAUGAUUUAUGCUGUGAAUAAAGUAUCACAAUGAUGUGAAUUCCCGCACAUUAUGCGACAGUGUUAUCUAGUGUGUGUUUUUACAUUGAUUAUGUGGACCUCUUGUUCAACCAGCACACUCCAGGUCCCAUUGGUGCAGGUUAAUAAAAAGCUUGCUGUAUUUGAUUCUAUUGAAAGCUACUCCUUUAUCUGCGCUCAAUGCCACUACAUACCCCUAGCAAUGAGCUUGCAUAGAUAUUCACACUCUGAUAAAUCAGGCAAGAACUUUGCAAAGCCAUUCACAAAUCCAACAAAUCACUGCAGUGCUUUCAAAUUCAUUGGCUACUGCAUCUCUGCAAUUGCUCUCACAUCAUCAGGUUCUGAGCAAAAUGCUUUUGCUGUUAAUACAUGACCUAUUAAAUUGACUUCAGGCAUCUAAAGUUGUAUUUUAAUCUUGUUCACCUUCAGGUUCACGUGGUAGGUUCUUUCUAGCUAUUACACUAGAUUUUGACCACCAUCUACAACGAGUUCUUCCACUGAAUUUCAUAUCCAUUGACUAUGAGACUAUCCACAAGUUUCCACUCCAGGAAGAACACCACUGAACAUUUUGUGCUGUCUGAUUUGAUAUCUUUUUGUAGUAGAAAUUCAAAAUGGUAUUUACAAUCAUCAGUAUCUUCUGAAUAACAUGCAGAAUAGAGUUAGAAAAUUUCUGCUUACAUUCAGCUUCAUCUUCAUAUCAAGAUUCAACCUUUUCUUUGGCAAGCUGUGUCAAAAUUUCUUCAAUGAUUGGCAUAAACAGUGAGAUGGUCAAAAUAUUUAUUUAGAUCCUUAGGAUCUGUUCAUACUCUCAGUUGACCAGGUGUUUUCAUGAUUGUGUCACUGAUCUAGCCUGUAGAUGUUGUCACUUUCAGGUUGGACUUGAGGGCAAGUGGAACUGCCUUCAGCAGAUGCUGUGCUGGUGUCACACUCUCAUCCACUUCAAGAUAAUAUUCACCGGGAAAACAUCAGAGAUCUGUAAAAUCAUCCUUUUAAUCUUCUAGGAUCUGUUUGACAGUCAAUGCCUCAGGGGCCUGCAAAAUGCUGCAAAUCUCUUUUGACAUGAUUCAUGUUACUCUGUUCUGAAAAAGUAAUUGGGCUAGAAACAUUAGCUCUGUUUCUCUCUCCACAGAUGCUGCCAGACCUAUUGCACUUUCCAGCACUUGCUGUUUUUAUCCUUUUUUUUCUGUUGUGAUGAAUGGAUUUCACAUAUCUGGAACUUUGAGUCUUUAUUCUUCACAUUAUAUUGGACGCUCAGCUUCAUUUGCCCUUUUGGCUUGAGUUUAAUUCCAUCAUACAGCUUCAAUCAUACUUAUGAGGGUCAUCACUUUUUGCCACUCGGCACAGGGCUGUGAAACCCACAAUAAUGCAGAUCAGACUUCAUGUUCGUUUGACGGACUCUUUUUGAAGACACCAUUCUUACAGUCAAAACUUUAUAUAAUAUAAAAUGAUUUUCAGAAUCAUCAGCUAAUAUCUCUCCAGCAACCAUAAAAUUUUAAAGGCUUGGUUUACAUUUUCAGAGUUGAAUGCUUACAUUUAAAGUGUUUCAGCUGACUGCAGUUAAAGCACAGCUUUCUCUUUAGUAUGAUGUUGUCUGCAACAUUAACAUUAAUCCUCAGAUUGUCAGUUUUCUGAUUACUUUUCUGCAAAUCUUUCUUAGUUUUCCCUAAGCUGUUAUUCUCAUUCAGCCUGGAAUGUCCCUCAGCAUUACGUGAAGGCUUGCCUUUUCUCCCAUUAUAUACAAUAGCUGAGAUUGACAACCUCAGAGUUUCUGCACAUGUUGAAAAUUUUCUUGAAAGCAAGUUUCUGCUCUCUCAGCAGACAUGUUAUCAUGGCAGGAUCUCUUAUGCCCAAGACAAACCCAUCACUGAUGAGAUCUGAUUAUAUUAUCUUUCAGUCAUCCAAAUUCAAAAUGAUUCAAUUCAAUGUAUUAGUGCAAUUACAUGCCGAUCAGUAGUCUAUUACGCCCCUUGAACUGAAUGCUGAAUACCUUUCAUAGACAACAGUUUCACAGAGAUACAGAACUCCUACAUUUGGGAAAGAGGCAUUUCAGUCCAUCGAGUCUGCAACAACUCUGCAAAGAGCAUUCCACCCUGACCCUGCACAUUUACCAUGGCUAAUCCACCUAGCCUGCACAUUCCUGAACAUUAAGGGGUAGUAUCAGCAUGGUCAUUCUACCUAACCUGCACAUCAUUUGACUGUGGAAGGAAACCACAGCAACUAGGGGCAACCCACACAGACACAGAGAGAAUGCGCAGAUUUCAAACAGACAAUUCCCUGAAGCUGGAAUCGAAAACUAGUACAAAAUAUAAAAAAGGUCAGCAAAAGCUUCGAUAAGCAUAUAAUAAACGAGGAGAGAAUAGUUAAAGUGAAUGUUAGUACAUUGGAGAAUGAGACUAAGAAAUUAAUUGGGGAGAACACAAAUAGAGGCAUUAAAUCAAAAUGUUGCCGCUGAAGUAACUCCACAGAGAUCAGUAUGCCAUCACCAAGUCACCUCUUAUUUACAUGUGGGAAGUCUUUGACCCUAAUCAGCUGCCUCAAAGCCAGCACUUCAAUUGAACAGAAUCCCCAACACUCCUGUUCUCAUCUGUAAGUCAGGGCUCCCUGAUUGAGGUUGUAUGGCUGGUCCAAUCAGGGAACUCAUAUUCUGAGGUCCACUUGGCUGACCUCAUUACAUUCUCUAUAGCCUCAGUUUUCACAACGAAGGAUACCAGUGCCAUCCUAAUAAUAACAUGUAAUGCAGAGGUUAUAGGAAGGCAGAAACAUGGAACAAUUGUCAUCACUAAGGAAAAAGUAUGGAACAAACUAUGUGGAUUGAAGGCAGACAUGUUUCUAGCACCUGAUUACUUAUAUCCUAUGCUGUUAAAGAAAGUGGCAGCAGAGAUAGUGGAACUAUGGUAAUAAUACUCUAAAAGUUCCCUGGAUGUGGGAAAGGCUCUCGUACGUUAAUGUUAAUGUAGCAUGCUCGUUCAAAAGGGAAUACAGAACUACAGACCAGUUAGUUUAACAACCUAUCAUUGCAGAAUUAUAUGAAUCCAUUUUUAAGCAAGUCAUAACAGGUACUUGGAAAGUCAAAACACAAUCCAUUGGAGCCAGCAUGGUUUUGUGAAGGGUAAUUUUGAUUAAUUUGUUCUUGUUGAUUAAUUUGUUGAGUUCUAAUGUAACAAUGGAUAAUGGUGAUGUAUUGUAUCUGGAUUUACAGAAAGACACAAAGGGUCAAUACAUAAGGUAAGAUCACAU